This 76-nucleotide transfer RNA is filed under the name Armatimonadota bacterium. RNAcentral's name for it is "Armatimonadetes bacterium (soil metagenome) tRNA-Trp". It matches the Rfam family "tRNA". From Rfam's summary of the family: Transfer RNA (tRNA) molecules are approximately 80 nucleotides in length. Their secondary structure includes four short double-helical elements and three loops (D, anti-codon, and T loops). Further hydrogen bonds mediate the characteristic L-shaped molecular structure. tRNAs have two regions of fundamental functional importance: the anti-codon, which is responsible for specific mRNA codon recognition, and the 3' end, to which the tRNAs corresponding amino acid is attached (by aminoacyl-tRNA synthetases). tRNAs cope with the degeneracy of the genetic code in two manners: having more than one tRNA (with a specific anti-codon) for a particular amino acid; and 'wobble' base-pairing, i.e. permitting non-standard base-pairing at the 3rd anti-codon position. The record is from RNAcentral. Lineage: Bacteria; Bacillati; Armatimonadota. RNAcentral also lists the same sequence under 3 other names.
AGGGGUGUAGCUCAGUUGGUAGAGCAGCGGUCUCCAAAACCGCAGGCCGCAGGUUCGAGUCCUGUCGCCCCUGCCA